RNAcentral lists this ribosomal RNA (305 nucleotides) under uncultured bacterium. Its description in RNAcentral is "bacterial SSU rRNA". It matches the Rfam family "Bacterial small subunit ribosomal RNA", at positions 335 to 658 of the family's 1533-position model. The record is from RNAcentral.
UUUCCUACGGGGGGCAGCAGUGGGGGAUAUUGGACAAUGGGGAAACCCUGAUCCAGCGAUGCCGCGUGAGGGAAGAAGGUUUUCGGAUUGUAAACCUCUGUCCUCUGUGAAGAUGAUGACGGUAGCAGAGGAGGAAGCUCCGGCUAACUACGUGCCAGCAGCCGCGGUAAUACGUAGGGAGCGAGCGUUGUCCGGAUUUACUGGGUGUAAAGGGUGCGUAGGCGGCUUGGCAAGUCAGUAGUGAAAUCCAUGGGCUUAACCCAUGAACUGCUAUUGAAACUGUCGAGCUUGAGUGAAGUAGAGGG